Long non-coding RNA from Rhinolophus ferrumequinum (greater horseshoe bat), 5101 nucleotides. RefSeq lists it as uncharacterized. The record is from RefSeq and is a predicted model, not a curated record. The transcript has 3 exons. NCBI's taxonomy places the organism in Eukaryota, Metazoa, Chordata, Mammalia, Chiroptera, Rhinolophidae.
CGAAGGGCUCGAUGGCUGGCGGAGUCGCGGGUGGCCGCCGAUGGCCACGGAAGGGUCCAGCUGAGGUCGGGCUUACGGAGGCCUACUGAAGGAGGUGGUCGAAGAGCCACGCACCUUAUCGAGCGCGUGUUGUGUGCCCGCGCCUGUUUUUCUUGCCGCAGCCGCAGUCACUGCCUUACAAGCAUAUCUGAAGUUGGACUGACUACAUUUCAAGGGCUCAAAAGCCACGCAUUGCCAGUGACCCCUGGGUUAAACAGUGCAGUGCUAGAGGCGGAAGCAGAAAAGAAAUCAAGUGGUAAAAAGUGGCUUCUCUUGGCUGUGGCAGAUUCUCAGACUUUCCUUGUUUUUGAUGACCUUGGCUGUUUUGAGAACUGGUCAGAUAUUUUGUACGAUGCCCCUCUAUUGGAAUUUGUCUGAUGUUUUCCUCAUGAUAAGACUGGGAUGGUGGCUUUGGGGGAGGAAGACUAGAGAGGUAAAUUGCCCUCUCAUCACAUCAUAUCAGGAUACAGGCUGUCAACUUUAUCUAUGACUGUUGAUGUUGGCCUUGAUCACCUGGCUGAUGAUCUGUCAGGUUUCUCCAUCAUAACCGCCCUCCCCCUCCCAUUCCUUACUAUAGACUUUGGAAGGAAGUCACUAUGUGAAACCCACACUUAAAGAGUGGAGAGUCAUGUUCCCCCUCCCUAAGGGUGGAUAUCUACAUAAAUUAUUAGGAAUUCUCCUGCCUGGGAGAUUCCUCUCUUCUCCCCCAUUUAUUAGCUUAUUCAGUCAUUUCGUUGAAUCAGUAUGACCUCCUGGGUAUUUUACAUUCUAGGUUUUAACCUAAUAUUGCUUCAUUUUGUAACUCAAAUUGUUCCAACUGUAGCCAUUAGGAUCUCUUCCAGUUGGCUCCUGUAGCCUUUGACACGCUCCCAUCAAUGUAUUUUGUUUGGGCUCUUUUCUUGUUCUGUAAAUUAUUCAAGUUCAAUUUUUUUCUCUUUUCUAUUUUUCUUUUUAAUUACAUUUAUUGGGGGUGACAAUGGUUAGUAAAAUUACAUAGGUUUCAAGUUUUGGCUUUUUUAGUUGUUUUCUUUGGAGCUCUUCCUUGCUCUGUGACACUACCAGGUGCUCCAAGCCUGUCUUGUAUGUUUCCUGUCCAGUCCUAGAAUCAGCCAUUUCUCCAGGCCUGGUUCCUUUUAUCGGGGAACGGUGUUAGAAACCAAGAUCUGGGCACUGAGAGUGCUCGUUGCUACUGGGGUGUUGUUUCUUUUAGGUUAUUAAUCCUUUUUAAUUGCCCGCAAUGCAGCAGUACAGGCACGCAGCCCUGGGGAUACAACAGUAACCGUGCCAAAUGUGGCAUCUGCCCUCACGGAAGUUAACUUCCGUGAACAAGUUGCGGGAAGUCAACUUGUGGGAAUAAGCUUCAGAGGGCAGCUCUAACACUGACUGGCUUGGGCAAGUGCCACCUUGGGCAAGUUAUUUAAUCUCUUGGAGCUUCUGCCUCCCCUUCUGUGAAAUGGGGGUGAUUGCAACACUUCAUGAGGGCACUGUGAGAAUUCAAUGAAAUCACCCAGUUUUAGAAUCUUUGACACAGAGCCCGGCCUCAAGUGCUUAUUAAGUCCUAUUAAUAGUAUCACACAAAUAAUUAUAAUCUGCAGAGGUUCGGAGUGCCAGCAAAGCACAUAACAGGAGGACCUGCCCUCCUUUUGGGAUUGGCAAGAAGUCUUCCCAAGUCAGUGGUGUUUUGGCAGGAAGGACAAGUCACCAGGCAAAGAGGGACAGAAUGUUUAAGGCAGCAAGGACAGCAAGUGCAAAGGCCCUGAGGCAGGAAGGAGCCUGGCACACUUAGGAACUGACAAAAGGCUAAUGGCAGAGACGUGGGUAGGAAAGGAGACUCAUGGAAUUGGAAGGGGUGGGUCACAUAGGGCCUGGCUGGCCGUGGUGAGUUGAGACCUGGUCCUAACAGCAAGGGAGGUGACUUGUCCAAGUAUACAUGUCUAGUAAGCUGGGAUUUGAACCCUGUCUGGUUGGUCACAGAGAUCUUUAUUUCCCUGGUCUGAAUUUGAGAUGAGAAGUUCUUAUUUUUCAGAUUUUGGGCUUUUUUUUUUUUUUUUUUUCCUGUAAGAAGCACAGUGUUGGUUCUUAGGGGUCAGAAUCAGAGUACACUCCAGCCACCAAAGUUCUAGGUUGUUCUUGCUAUCCCUCCAUCACGAGCCCUGAGGGUCUGUGAGGCAGGGACACAAAGAUGAGUCAGUCUGGGUCCCUGCUCUUGAGGACAUUGCAGCCCCAGAGGAGAGAAGGUCAUAGAGACAUAUAAAUCCAGCCAGGGUGACCAGGGAUGGGUACAGAACACCACCCUCGUGGAGGGCAGUGUCUGAGCAAAGUACUGCAGGAGUGGAAAGGCUGAAUGCGGAGCAGAUGGUGAGAUGGGUCUGGAGAGAUGUCUGCCUCCAGCUCUAAAGGGUCCUGGAGAGUCAGGCAGAGAAAUUGGGAUUUAUCCCAUACCCAGAAGCUGGCAGACUGUAGCCCGACUCGGCUCAGGCCUAUUUUUGCACAGCCUGUGAGCUGCACAUGGUUUUUACAUUUUUAAAUGGUUGGGAAAAGCCAAAAGAAGAGGUUUUGUGACAUGAAAAAAUGACAUGAAGCGCAGUUUCAGUGUCCAUCAAGUUUGACGGUAACACAGCCACACCUGUCGUAUGUGUGUUGCCCCUGCUGCUUUCGAGUGACACCAUCAGAGGAAGAUGUGCUCAGACAGAGGCUGCUUCAUGGCUGUGGAAACUGUCGUCACACAGGGCCUUGUGCUUCUACUGUCACCAUUGCGAAAUGCUUAGUAAUCUGUAAAUGAGAGGCCCCGCAUUUUUAUCUUGCCCUGGGCUCUGAAAAUUACAUAGCCAAACUUCGUGACAGAGACUGUAUGGCCCAGAAAACCUAAAAUAUUUACGAUCGGGCCCUUUUCAGAAAGUGUGUGCUGGUCCUGCUGUGGUGGGCAGAAUAACAGCCCCCCCAAAGAUAGCCAUGUCCUGAUUUCCUGGAACCUAUGACUACGUCACCUUACCUGGAAAAAGGAACUUUGCAGAUUGGACUAAGUAUCUGGAGAUGGGGACAUUAUCCUGUAUUAUCUGCAUGAGACCAGCUGUUGUUCACAAGAAGGAAGCAGGAGAGUCAGAGAAGGAGCCUUGACAACAGAAGCAGAGGUCAGUGAUGCCAUUGCCGCUUUCAUGGCGGAGGACAGGGUGUGAGCCACAGACUGUAGGCAGCAUCUGGAAGCUGGAAAGGGCAAGGAAACACAUUCUCUACUGGAGCUUCCAGAAGGACCACAGCCCUGCCGACACCUGAUUUCAGCCUGGUGAGACCAAUUUCAGACUUCUGACGUCCACAGUGAUGCAGUGGAAAGCCAUGACAUCUGAGCCAUUUACAGGGCUCCAUGUGUGGGUGGGGGUUAUUUGGGGGACAUAAGAAAUGGUUUAAAUGUCAGGUGGGGUGUUCACUGGUCAGCUCCCUAACAGAGCCAGGGCACAAAGCGGAAUGCUCGUUCUGAGAAUAGAAGCCAGCAGGCCCAAACAAGCACAGAGAACCUUCUGACACACGAGCUCUUUGGGGGCCUGACUUCAGUCAGAUUCCGUCUCAAGUGCCAAGUAGGUCAGUCGCAUAGAAACCAGGAAGCUUUAUUUAUUUUUUCUUAGGCAGCUGAGUUUAUUUUCAGGUUCGCAGUUUGGAAUUCAUGUCCCUGAUUCGUUCAGAACUAGAAGAGCGACAGUACUGGCUCCCAUGGGUCACCCGUGGUUCCUGUUUCUGACCUGGAGACCCUAGCCCUGGAGGGGCACAGAAAUGCAGGGCUUCCCUUCAGGAACUGCUCUGCUAAUAACUUCCCCGAACCUUAGUUUUCUUGUUUGCCAAAGGUAGGUGGCACUGCUGCCUUUAGAACACGAGUAAAGCAGGCACUGAGCAGAACGUCUGACGCACCCCAACUUACGUUGUAUCGGCAGGCCCAUAAAGAAAGUUCUGUGAUUAACGCCCCAGAGAGUGGGAGGGGCUCCACUUCUUGUCUUAGAAUCAUGGCUCCUUGAAUGCCACCUCGUUAGAUAACAUAGGGCACCGACCUGAGUGAGCUUGGCAAGUUUUGUUUUCCAGAAUUAAAUUUCUGGAUCUGACCCAUUACCCUUCAACUCCAGCAUCAUUCUGGCAAGAACGACAGUGGGCAUUUUAUCUCCCAUAGGGUCAAAGGUUAGACAAGGUCCCAUAGCCCUGAGUCCCAGGAUCACGGAGUGGCCUGGUUUCCCCUGUCGUCUGAGAGCCAUAUUUCACUUCCAGGUGUUGUCACGUGGUUAUUCUUAUUCCUACCAGUGACCUCGUAGUAGCCACUAUCACUGUUUUUUUGUUUUUUCUGCCCUUUUCCCCUUUUUCUGCCCCACCCCUCCUUCAAGCCGGUGUCUCUCAGUCUAGUUGUGUAGGACACAGCUUCCUGGCCCAUGCUGGUAUUGUGAGUCUUGCAGCGCCCCCCCAACCCCCAGCUGAGGCAGCCGGUCGCCAGUCGGCCGAUCACGGCAGCUCUCGCCGGCUGCUGGCCACUCAUGGCAGCCCACAGCAGCCCACAGCAGCUCACGCUGACCUCCGCCCGCUCAUGGACCCCCAGCUCCAGGGAGAGUUGUUGUUCACAAUCUUAGCUGUAGAGGGCGCAGCUCACUGGCCCGUGUGGGAAUCAACCGGCGAUCUUGGCGUUAGGAGAACAGCGCUCCAACCACCUGAGCCACUGGGCUGGCCCUGUUUUUUCAUUUUUAAUAUUUGGUGUUUGGGAAGAGGGGGGAGCUGGGCUCUAGAAGAGUAUAAACGGGGUCUAAUAUAUGGUGAUGGAAAGAAAACUGACUCUGGGUGGUGAACACACAAUGUGAGAUAUAGAUAUUGUACACCUGAAAUCUAACUUUACUAACAAUGGUCGCCCCAAUAAACUUAAAUUUAAAGAAAAAAAAAGAUUUGUUUUUUAAUCUGGCUGUUCUUUUUCAUGCCAUAUGAGUUCUCUUUCUUGUUUUGUCUCUAAAUGUUUUACAUGUAUUGAGUUUUUUGCAGUGCUUCUUUUUUAAAAAACAAAAACUUUUAUUUAUUUAAGUGUGUUUUUCCAGGACCCAUC